UUGCUUAUGUAGCACAAAUACUAAAAGUGGAAGAAUAGGGAGAUGUCAUAUGAUAGAAUGGCCCCUGAGCAAGAAUGUCCAGCAAAUGCAUAAAAUGUUUCAUGUUUUU
Small nuclear RNA from Sorex fumeus (smoky shrew), 109 nucleotides. The record is from RefSeq and is a predicted model, not a curated record. Lineage: Eukaryota; Metazoa; Chordata; Mammalia; Eulipotyphla; Soricidae.